Molecule: ribosomal RNA, 373 nt
Filed under: uncultured Streptococcus sp.
Lineage: Bacteria; Bacillati; Bacillota; Bacilli; Lactobacillales; Streptococcaceae
Description: bacterial SSU rRNA
Rfam family: Bacterial small subunit ribosomal RNA
Source: RNAcentral
UGAAAGUUACUUCGGUUACAUCGGUGACAGGUGGUGCAUGGUUGUCGUCAGCUCGUGUCGUGAGAUGUUGGGUUAAGUCCCGCAACGAGCGCAACCCCUAUUGUUAGUUGCCAUCAUUCAGUUGGGCACUCUAGCGAGACUGCCGGUAAUAAACCGGAGGAAGGUGGGGAUGACGUCAAAUCAUCAUGCCCCUUAUGACCUGGGCUACACACGUGCUACAAUGGUUGGUACAACGAGUUGCGAGUCGGUGACGGCGAGCUAAUCUCUUAAAGCCAAUCUCAGUUCGGAUUGUAGGCUGCAACUCGCCUACAUGAAGUCGGAAUCGCUAGUAAUCGCGGAUCAGCACGCCGCGGUGAAUACGUUCCCGGGCCUU